UCUACAUGGCCGGGAUCUAUGAUGACGUAGAGGUGCAAACAGGAAGUAAGAACAGCACGCUUCAUGUUUCCUCCACACGUUUCAGCUGCUAUCGUCAGUGUUCCUCUUCAUACAUGCUGAUUGCGUCAUAGAGGCUGUUGUUAUCUGAGCGUUUCCAUGAUGGCGGAGCGGCUGAACUU
Molecule: long non-coding RNA, 179 nt
Organism: Notothenia coriiceps (black rockcod)
Lineage: Eukaryota; Metazoa; Chordata; Actinopteri; Perciformes; Nototheniidae
Exons: 2
Source: RefSeq, a predicted model, not a curated record